This is a long non-coding RNA of Ictalurus punctatus (channel catfish), 546 nucleotides long. The record is from Ensembl. Lineage: Eukaryota; Metazoa; Chordata; Actinopteri; Siluriformes; Ictaluridae.
CUCUUAUUUGCUGAAGGGAGACCCGCGAUGGCCGUGACCUCCAAAGAGCUCUCUGAGAUCUUUACUGAACCAGCGAAGGAUUGCACAAAGGGAUUAAUACUGAUACCGUGCAAAGGAGGGGAAGCAGGGAGAGAAAAGAACAGGAACUAACAGAGAUCAAGACAGACGGGUCACGUUACCACCAAGCUAAAGGCAAUAAGGGUCCGUUAUCGGGUUCUCGCUGUGCUUUGGGGGUUUCCUCUGGGUAUUCCAGUUUCCUCCCCAGUCCAAAGACAUGCAUUGUAGGCUGAUUGGCAUCUCUAAAUUGUCUGUAGCGUGUGAAGGCGUGAGUGCUUGUUGCCCACGCCUUGUGCCCUGAGUUUCCUGGAUAGGCUCCAGGCUCCUUGUUACCCUGUGUAGGAGAAGCGGUACAGAAAAUUGAUGGGUGGAUGAAUGAAUCAUAAUGAUGACCUUGGUGCCAAAUGUGUUAUCUCAUACGUACUGUAUAUAAACAGCUGUGCUGUAUGUAUGUUCUGUUAUGCACCUACGAAUAAACAUUUGGAAUGA